GUGGCUGUGAGCGUAGUUGGUUAACGUUCCUGCCUGUGACGCAGAUGACGUGGGUUCGAAUCCCACCAGCCACAC
Molecule: transfer RNA, 75 nt
Filed under: Xanthomonas phage XbC2
Lineage: Duplodnaviria; Heunggongvirae; Uroviricota; Caudoviricetes
Also listed under: 1 other name
Description: tRNA-His
Rfam family: tRNA
About the family: Transfer RNA (tRNA) molecules are approximately 80 nucleotides in length. Their secondary structure includes four short double-helical elements and three loops (D, anti-codon, and T loops).
Source: RNAcentral